CACUUCUGUGCAGAACCAUGUUAUUAGCUUCAUUAGUUCCAAGACAACUUUUAACUAAUCUUUGGAAAUUGAAUUUCUCAGUUGAACUAAACCUAUGAAACCAUGAGUAAAUAACAGAUUACAGUACAAUGAUGUCAAGCAACACAAGUACACCAGUCCCCUUCGCUCUCCAAUCAUUGUUUCUCCUCUGCUACACCUCCGUGCCAUGUGUCACCCUGCCUUGGAGCCAGCUGAUUAUAGACUGAAACCUCUACAAACAGGGAAUGCAGCUAAGAGUUUGCCUUAAAUCUCAGAGAAGACAUUGGACUUGAACUUUCAGCAAUGUUGAAACUGAAGCAUCUUGGAACUUGUCAAGUUUUACUGGAGGUGAUUUGCAGUUAAUUAAUUCAACAGACA
RNAcentral lists this long non-coding RNA (396 nucleotides) under Heterocephalus glaber (naked mole-rat). RNAcentral's name for it is "lncRNA (ENSHGLG00000048540.1)". Lineage: Eukaryota; Metazoa; Chordata; Mammalia; Rodentia; Bathyergidae. The record is from RNAcentral.